Molecule: ribosomal RNA, 944 nt
Filed under: uncultured organism
Description: bacterial SSU rRNA
Rfam family: Bacterial small subunit ribosomal RNA
Source: RNAcentral
UUGACGGUACCCUACUAGGAAGGAGCCGCUAACUUCGUGCCAGAAGCGUCGGUAAUACGGGGGCUCCAAGCGUUAUCCGGUGUUAUUGGGCGUAAAGAGUCGUGUAGGUGGUUGGGUAAGUUAUCUUUCAAAUAUCUUUGCUUAACAAAGAGGAGGGGGAUAAUACUGCUCGACUAGAAUUUUCUCAAGGGAGAUCGGAACUGAGGGAGGAGUAGUGAAAUGCGUUGAUACCCUCGGGAACACCAGUGGCGUAGGCGGAUCUCUGGGAGAAGAUUGACACUGAGACACGAAAGCUAGGGGAGCGAAGCAGAUUAGAGACCUGCGUAGUCCUAGCCGUAAACGCAUGCUUGCUAGCUGCAUGAAUCUACCUUCGGGUGGUAUCGUGUGGCGAAGGUAACCCGUUAAGCAAGCCGCCUGGAAAGUACGGCCGCAAGGCUGAAAUUCAAAGGAAUUGGCGGGGAGGCACACAACCAGUGGAACAUGUGGUUUAAUUCGAGACUAACCGAAGAACCUCACCAGGGUUUGACAUGUAGCUGCACGUCUUAAGAAAUUAAGACUCUCUUGAAGGUGCUACACAGGUGCUGCAUGGCUGUCGUCAGCUCGUUCCGUGAGGAGUGCCCUUAAGUGGGACAACGAGCGCAACCCCUAUUACAUGUUAGAAAUGACAUGUAAGACUGCCUUGCCAUUUGGCGGGGAGGAAGGAGGGGCAGACGUCAAGUCCGCAUGGUCCUUAUGCCCUGGGCUACACACAUGUUACAAUGAGUACGGCAAUGAGUCUGUCGCGAGCACGUAAGUGUAAGCUAAUCUCUUAAAUGUACUCUCAGUGGGGAUUGAGGUCUGCAACUCGACCUCAUGAACACGGAAUUGGUAGUAAUCGCGGGUCAGCUAUACCGCGGUGAUACGUUCUUGCCUCUUGCACACACCGCCCGUCAAACCAGCAAAGU